AUCCUCCUCAUGGCUACAGUUGUGAGUGAACCAGCUGUCAUGGGUGCACAAGGACAGGCUGCUCUCUGUGCCAUUGCAGCGCACAUUGUCUAAGAGGAUCUUUCCAAAGCCUGGGCCAAAGUGGGCACCAAGGGGGGCAGACAGAGCCAGGCCACACCCAAGCUGCCUGCACACCACCUGUGCCUCUGGCAGGCCCCAGCCUUCAUCACACACCGACCCCCAGGAACCCUGGUAGGAAACCUCCACCCGUCCAGAGCAUCUUCCUGUGCCAUUCGCCAGUCUCAGCCUGGGCCAGGCUUCUGCAGAGACAAAAACAAGGUGUUGCCUUGGAAUAGUAAGCAAGCACAGCUGACCAGAAGCUGAAGUCAUCUGGAAGGACCAACUGAGCAGCCCUGGUCUUCAGGCCAAGAUCUGUUUUCUCUCACUCUGGAGCUUUCUUCUGUAGCUCAGCAGCCCCCACCUGUGCUACUUCCCAAGGCUUCUUCCAGGCACGGUGACCCCUCUCCACAGUUCACAAGAGCAACAGUGUGUCCCUGGGAAAGGCUGCUCACCUGGUGGGCUGAGCCCAGGCACACUGGCCCUGCGAUUGGCAGCUGCAGAGUCCGCCACAGGAAGAUCUGAAACAACAUUGGAUUGGGGGUUAGGAAUCAAGGUCCCUUUCCUAGGACAGACAUAGCACACAGCAGAAGAGGACUCAACUAAUAUCUGGCAAAAGUCCACCACAUCAUCCAUACCUUAACCCAAACAUCUGGUCUAGCCACAUAUUCAUAAUGAACUGCCAGAUUUCAGAAGAUGUUGGAGUCAAGUUUAGGUGGCCACAGAAGGCUCCUGAGUGUGAUCCCCGUGCUCUUAGUGCUUCCCCUUCCUUAACCCUCCCGGGUCCUGCAUGAGGGUACUCAGCAGUAGUAAAACAAGUCACUAAAAAUCGGGAAAAAGUUCUAAAAAUCAUGAUAUUCAUAAAGUUGUCUUGGAUGACCCCUCAGAGGACAUUAUAUAACCUAGUGACCCCCCUCCUCCUGCAUGUCCCAUGUGGAUGGUAAGGUGUCUAUCUACAAGACUAAUGAUGGAGUCACUGCUCUUACCGGACAAGAUGGUUGGUAACUUUUCAUUAUCUGUUGUGACUGAAACA
This 1129-nucleotide long non-coding RNA is filed under the name Fukomys damarensis (Damara mole-rat). RNAcentral describes it as "lncRNA (ENSFDAG00000030929.1)". The record is from RNAcentral. Lineage: Eukaryota; Metazoa; Chordata; Mammalia; Rodentia; Bathyergidae.